GCUAAUAAUUGGCCAAGGGUGUCUCUUACCAGCAUUUCCAAGACCACCAAUUUCUGGCAGCUGUUUCCCUUCUCUAUGCAUGUAACUACUGUUGUCAACCCGGGAUUUGAGGAUAUGAAGUCUAGACAUAACAGAAGCCUCACAAUCAUUUGCUUGGCUGGUUGCUCUUGAAACGGGAGAAUCCUGGAUGCUGAACUCAGGCAUUAAGCUAUCACUUGUGUCAGGUGCAAUUACCUCAAUCUUGGGUUCUGGCAGUUGUUGCCCUUCUGUAUGCAUGUCACUACAGUUGUCAACCCGGGAUUUGAGGAUAUGAAGUCUUGACAUAACAGAAGCCUCACAAUCAUUUGCGUGGCUGGUUGUGAUUGAAGGAGGAGAGUCCUGAAAAAGAUUGAACUCAGAUGCUGAGCCAUCAUUUCUGUCAGGUACAAUUACGUCAGUUUUGGGUUCAAGAGACACCUUCGG
Molecule: long non-coding RNA, 462 nt
Filed under: Prunus persica (peach)
Lineage: Eukaryota; Viridiplantae; Streptophyta; Magnoliopsida; Rosales; Rosaceae
Description: long non-coding RNA (PPER_LNC002876)
Source: RNAcentral